Molecule: long non-coding RNA, 342 nt
Filed under: Elaeis guineensis (African oil palm)
Lineage: Eukaryota; Viridiplantae; Streptophyta; Magnoliopsida; Arecales; Arecaceae
Description: long non-coding RNA (EGUI_LNC040968)
Source: RNAcentral
CAUCUCGUACAUAUAGUAGGAUCUCCAAUCCUCUCGAAAAGUACUUGAGUAUGCUUAACAGAGGAUGUAGAAAAAAUUAUUUCUCAUGGGAGAUAGAGAACAUAGAGAUGAUCCCAGAAUCUACAACGAGGCGAUAUGAGACAUCGACUUCAAAAAAAGAUGUGAAAUAGCUUUCCUGAGUAGAGAUCUUUUGAAGAUUUCUAUGUGGAAUAGCCUAUGAAUUUUACUUCUUGUGAUAGGUAAUCAUAAAAACCACAAUACUCUUGGAGUUGGAAUAUUCAUUUCAAUGAUAUGAUCAAAUUGUUUGAUCACAUAUGAGAAAUUAUGGAUUUCAAAAGGAUC